AAAAAAAAGUGGAAUGAAAGUUCCACAGCCCCCUUCCUUGAACAAAAUCUUGAAUGAGUGAGUGGAGUAGAGAGCUGCAUUCUCAUUUUCUGGAACUACUGGUUCCACAAGACCUGAAACAUUGUUGCAAAAGAAUAUUGGUUGAUUGAAUUUUUCUCCAUGAACAUAAAGCAGGGGCAUAUCAAAAGCAGUGAAGUUUCCAACAGGUUUAUUUGCAACAAAAACCAUACGUACAUUUGACAAGUAGAUUAUUCCCUUCGCUUUAACAUGACCUCCCUGACUUCCAGGGAUCUUGUCAAUCUCGAACUCGACGCCAUCUCUAGUCAAAACAAAGAUCUCGUUGACGAAUGGUACCGGCAUCCCAUUUUGGAACAGUUGAGGGUUCAAAGCCAUCUCUUUUCUUGCUCUUGGUGCGAUUUAUUUCC
This 425-nucleotide unclassified non-coding RNA is filed under the name Hevea brasiliensis (rubber tree). The record is from RNAcentral. Lineage: Eukaryota; Viridiplantae; Streptophyta; Magnoliopsida; Malpighiales; Euphorbiaceae.